Microcebus murinus (gray mouse lemur) is the source of this 4483-nucleotide long non-coding RNA. RefSeq lists it as uncharacterized. The record is from RefSeq and is a predicted model, not a curated record. Lineage: Eukaryota; Metazoa; Chordata; Mammalia; Primates; Cheirogaleidae.
GUCUCCCAGGGUCUCAGGAGGUGCUCUAAGCAGCCAUCUAUGUGGUUAGAUGUUUAUGAGGCUUGUCCAAGCCUGUGUCCUGUGGAGCCCUGAGUGGUGUUGCUGGUUCCUAAACUGGGAAGACUUGGAGAUUUAGGAGUCACCUACAGAAAUGCCUUGUUAAGAUACAGAUUUUACCAGACUUACAAGCAUCUCAGAACAUUACUUGGUGAUUAAAUGUCUUUGGAUAUCCAAGUGAGAAUUUCAUAAGGAUACUGGCGAUUCCUCUCUUCUUCCGAUAGCUCUGCUGGUGAAAUUCCUCUGCAGCGUUUUUCCUGAUGCAGCAUGAAGAAUUUUCCAUACAUUUCUCCCACCAUUGUAUCAGAUUCUUUGGAUCAAAUUCUUGCUUGAGGAUUGUCCCGUCAAUCGGUUUGCACACUUUUAACUCUCCGAGCUGGUGGAUGAAAAUGCCAAAUUUCACAAGAUCCACAGAGAGCGAGUCCAUGAUAGAGAUUAGCUAUAAAUGAUUAUGGAAUCAGUGUGAAAGAAUACAUUGAAAAUAAAUUAAGCAUUUAAGAGACGAUGUGAUUUUGAGAAUUGAAAGACUGUGCCUCUAUCCAAAGGCCUUUUUUAGACAAUUAGAUCCUGCUACCUUCUCUGGUGGCAAGUGGCAUUCAGCUGCCACAGCUGCCAUCCAGGUCUCUAUUACAAAUGCUCCCUGGGGAAAACUGAACCCCUAGAAGGCCACAUUGGACAGCAAAUUGGUCUUGCAGGCUCAGCCUCAGACACGCAGGUUGGGAAUCUUAACAGCAUUUUCCAGUUUGAGCAAAGCAUAUUCUACUACCUGAAAAGUGCUCCAAGGCGAAAAAUGGAUUAAAAUCAUAAAAUCUGGAUUGAUGCCACCUUAAGAAGGCACUAACCAAAUUCCCUGUCCAGGCAGGAGAAAUGCCAGCCCUUCUGAGACGUGUGUCUCUACUGAAUUCUCAGUGCUACCACAGAGAGGAAUCCCAUGAGGUUCCAGGCCACCUGCUUGAGUGACUACUUCAUUUUAACUUACAUGCAUUUUACAUAUAUAUGUCUGUAUUUAUAUGGGUAGAUAAAAGAUAUUUCUGCCAUUUAAACUGAUUAAUGUUCUCCAUUUAAGGUCAGCUUUUUUUAAAUUCCCUGACACCCCAAAAAUAUUAUCAGAAUUAUGGACACUUAGACUUUUUUUUUUCCUUUAGGCUGGAAACUUUAGUUUCUUUAGAAUCUUUUCCAUGUUUUCCCUGCAUACUUAAAACAUGAAGGCUAAGCAAGGCCCAAAGUUUCUGAUAACGACCCAACCAAAGCAUUUCUGUAUGGACAGCACAGAGUGACUCUCCCGAGUCACUGGGUCUGACUCCAGGUGGAGAAAAGAGUGAAAGAACAGCUCUGCCAGGCAGGUGCUGUCCUUUCCAAGUUGUUGUGGGAUUAGAACAAACUACUGUUGCUAGAUCUCAGGACAGCAUUAUAUGCAUAUUUGUUAUUAAAUUAGAAUGCAUCUGUUUUGGGAAUUAAAAAUAACUUUACAUCUCAUAAAACUGUGGAUGAGUGGGUCAUAAAAAUUCCACCGAUAGCAGAGUGGGCUGUGGGUUUCUAGCCAAGGGCUCAGUAGAAAGCAAAGGUACCAGGUGGGGCCUCCCUCUGAUGAGAUGAGCAGGUAGAAAAGAGAUGAGUUUUGAAGUUUCUAGAAUAGGCAGAAACACUGGGGGAAAAGGUGGUAUCUUCAUAUCUAUUGUUCACAGAUUAGAAGUCAGUGAAAGGGGGAGGGCCGAGAUGUGAUUUUUGGAGCAGCAGGGCGCUGGGCUGAGCGGGUGCCUGGGACAGGGCCGGGCUCUGGCAGGAGAGGAGUUGCUGGCAGUGUGCAGGGCAGAGGCUCCCCUUGGCAUGAGCAGAAGAGAGAUUUGCCUGGGACGGGCCCAAACCUUAGCCCUCCUUCCAGAUGCCGAGCGUGUCUUUCCCUGACCCCCCCACUGGCCUUGCCUAGGCGAGGGUGUUGGGAAGGAAAAGAGGGACCCGUGACUGAACUCUGCUCUGGGGGAGUUUUCUGGGGGGCAACCCGAGGCAUUCAUCAAACGGACACGCUAUGACUAGGCUGCAGCAAAUGGAAAGUGAUCGUCGGGCGCUCUACUCGACAAAGUGCCUCAGAGCUGCAGGGCCAGCAGCUCCCUGUCCCCUCACAGAAGGAAGGCGGUGGGAUCUGGAAGCUGCGUGAGUCAUCUGGCUCACAAUUGGCACUCCAUGCAACGUGGGCAUGGGCUGUGGACUAUACUAUACUCUAAGAAACCUAUACUCUAUACUCUAAGAAACUAAACUCACAUUUAGUCAAUCGUCACAAAUAAGUGGAACCCCAGAUGUUUUUGUAAGUUACAUGCCAUUUCAGAAUCAUCUGGUGUGUAGCCUCCGCUGAUGUGAUAUUCAGUGACUGCUGCCUCGACUUUCCCAAUGCUCGAUCUGUGCGCAGUACACAACGUUUACUUCUGUGAGCGUGCAAGGUCCAAGCACGACAUCCUGGGCAUUAGAAAAGUGCAAGUGGGAGUCCCUUUCACUCCUGGUAAUGGGGGUUUUCUGACUGCUGUGUACCACAGCACACAGAUCCCCAUCUUCUGGACUCGGGGCAUCGUGUGCCCAGACCCCUCUCUGGCUGUUCAUCCUGAGCUACCAGUUCAUGAUGAAGAUGGUAUUUAACCUGCUCCACGUGCACAUACUUUUCUCCCGCAGGACAGGUGCCAUGUGUUAGAUUUCUCUGUGUCUCCUGUAACUCUUAGCAUAAUGCUUUGUAUACAGUAGGGGCUCAAUAAAUCCCUGUCUUUGGAUUUGGAAAGAACUCUAGAGGUCAUCUGCUCCGAACUCUUCCAGUGCAGGCUGCCCUCUGGAACUUAUUGUACCCGGGUCCCAAACAACCCUAGAGACUCAGCCUCAGGCGUCCGGGUGAGGCUCGGGGGUCUGCGUGUCACCAGCAGCUCCGGGCUCCACGCGGGGUCCUCCGGCCACCCCUACAGAAACACCAAACUGCCCAUGGUGACGCACUGCUCCGUUGUGGAAUCAAUGGAUUCGGUCAGGAUCCACAUACCUAAGAGAAGAAACAGAAGAGAAGGAAAGAGGAGAGGAGGGUUUGAGAGGAGAGGGGCAGGGAGGGCAGAGGAAGCAUCAAUGUUAUGACAUGUAGCAGUCGUAGUGAGUGUUGUUGGUGAGACAGUGUGCGUGUGUGUGUGUGUGCAGGGGUGCAUGUGUGUGUGUGUGCACCUGUGUGUGUGCGCGCACACACUCGGGGUCCCAUCGUAAGAUGUCCUUUGUGUGUCCUGGUAAAACAGUUUGAAAGCAGGACAAGCGCAUCCCUUCCUGCUGGCGGGAAGAGCACGUGGGAAGCUCGGCGCAGUGCUGGCUGCUGUCUCGCGGUAGGGACCCACCUGUGCCUCUCUCAGAGCAGCGAAUGGUUCUGCUCCCUCUUUCCACGCUCUUCAGAAGUUUGCAGAGGGGCAGUGUCCUGGGAGGGCUGGCAGGGACUGGGCUGCCUAACCCGGCCCAGGAAGCUGGUGAUGUGUCAGGAUGUGGCAACAGGAGCUGUCAAGACAUGAGGCAGAGAGGGAGGGAAUCCUAUAUCCAGUGAGCCCCAGCUCAGAGGCCGGCGGGAGGGGACAGGAGUGAGACAGGAGGGGCGGGAGAUUCUGUCCUGAGUGGCCCAGUUGCUGUGCUUUGCUUUGUUUUAGGCAUCCAGGAGUGCAGUCCUUCUCCCUGGGGCACAUCCUAUCUCCCGAGGGUGGCCCACACACCCUGAGCUCUUUUCUUCUUUAGACUAAGCACACUGAAUUUUAAUGGCACAGUUCUCAGUCUGUCACUGCUCUGGUUGACUCAAUUGAUACUCCCUGGUAGGUUCUAUUACAGGACCCUGAACAGGUCAUUUAUCUGUUGAAAGAGCAACCUCUCCAAGGAUAGCAGCUUAUUUAACCCUUUUUCUGCCUAACCACCCCCUUUAUAAUGUUGGCCGUCACACACUUCCUUUCAGCAUGGAUUCAUUGAGCAUCACCUGUGUGCCCUGCAUGUGCUAGAUACUGGGAAAAUCCAUGCAAAAACAGGACCCUUCCCCCUAUAAGAACCAGGCAUCUGGCAGAGAGCCAGGCUUGUCACCUGUCAUUUGAUUCGGAAUGAGUUUGUUCAAGACUAGAGGGCUGCGCCAGGCAGCCAGGAGGCAGAGUCAGCACCUGGCACUGGGGACACACACGGUAAUUAUGGUAAUUACAGUAACUACCGUGCUGAAGGAGCAAGCUGACUCUACAGGGAGUCUGGGCUCCUAGGGAAGGUGAUAUCCCAGCAGAGAUUUGCUUCUAGUCCACAGCAGAGUGAGAAGCCACGCAGCUUGUAAGUUAGAGUUGAUAAAGCUCUGCAUGAGAACCGAAAAUCUUCUCUGGCAGACUGAAAUCCCUGGGGCUUAGUGCUGGAGUUCUGCGAGGCUUAUUUUAGAUUCUUAGCAGUAUUUUCUGCUCCC